AAGAACAAAAUUCGGGAGUAGAUCGGGGAAAAGAAAAAGUAAAGGACUAAAUUGUAAAGUUUAGUCACAUUUUGUAUCAAGUACUUAUCUAGUCACUCGGGGAUCGAAGGAAACGUCGGAGGCCGAUCACACUAUCAAAGAAAUAACUCGGUAUAAUUAGACGUUUUGUUUUGGGUGUGGCAUGUAUAGAAACUUAGCUAAUUUUGGUAUAAUAUGAACAAUGAAUGAUGUGUAAAUACUUGCUAGUGAUUAGCUAAUAAAAUAGCCGAUGAUAUACAUGUUUAAUAA
Molecule: long non-coding RNA, 288 nt
Organism: Gossypium arboreum
Lineage: Eukaryota; Viridiplantae; Streptophyta; Magnoliopsida; Malvales; Malvaceae
Exons: 2
Source: RefSeq, a predicted model, not a curated record